CCAGACUCCUACGGGAGGCAGCAGUGAGGAAUAUUGGUCAAUGGGCUUACGCCUGAACCAGCCAAGUCGCGUGAGGGAAGACUGCCCUAUGGGUUGUAAACCUCUUUUGUCAGGGAGCAAUUGGCGCUACGUGUAGCGUUAUCGAGAGUACCUGAAGAAAAAGCAUCGGCUAACUCCGUGCCAGCAGCCGCGGUAAUACGGAGGAUGCGAGCGUUAUCCGGAUUUAUUGGGUUUAAAGGGUGCGUAGGCGGAAUGCCAAGUCAGCGGUAAAAUCGCGGGGCUCAACCUCGCUCCGCCGUUGAAACUGGCGUUCUUGAGUGGGCGAGAAGUAUGCGGAAUGCGUGGUGUAGCGGUGAAAUGCAUAGAUAUCACGCAGAACUCCGAUUGCGAAGGCAGCAUACCGGCGCCCAACUGACGCUGAAGCACGAAAGUGCGGGGAUCGAACAGGAUUAGAUACCCGAGUA
This 464-nucleotide ribosomal RNA is filed under the name uncultured bacterium. Its description in RNAcentral is "bacterial SSU rRNA". It matches the Rfam family "Bacterial small subunit ribosomal RNA", at positions 331 to 792 of the family's 1533-position model. The record is from RNAcentral.